Transfer RNA from Felis catus (domestic cat), 85 nucleotides. It matches the Rfam family "tRNA". Rfam says of the family: Transfer RNA (tRNA) molecules are approximately 80 nucleotides in length. Their secondary structure includes four short double-helical elements and three loops (D, anti-codon, and T loops). The record is from Rfam. Lineage: Eukaryota; Metazoa; Chordata; Mammalia; Carnivora; Felidae.
GCCCGGGUGGCUCAGUCGGUUAAGUGUCUGACUUUGGCUCAGGUCAUCAUCUCACAGUUUGUGAGUUCGAGCCCCACAUCGGGCU